GACGAACGCUGGCGGCGUGCUUAACACAUGCAAGUCGAACGGAAAGGCCUCUUUCGGGGGGUACUCGAGUGGCGAACGGGUGAGUAACACGUGAGUAACCUGCCCUUGACUUUGGGAUAACUUCAGGAAACUGGGGCUAAUACCGGAUAGGAGCUCCUGCUGCAUGGUGGGGGUUGGAAAGUUUCGGCGGUUGGGGAUGGACUCGCGGCUUAUCAGCUUGUUGGUGGGGUAGUGGCUUACCAAGGCUUUGACGGGUAGCCGGCCUGAGAGGGUGACCGGCCACAUUGGGACUGAGAUACGGCCCAGACUCCUACGGGAGGCAGCAGUGGGGAAUAUUGCACAAUGGGUGGAAGCCUGAUGCAGCAACGCCGGGUGCGGGAUGACGGCCUUCGGGUUGGAAACCGCUUUCGCUCAUGACGAAGCUUUGUGUGACGGUAGUGGGUAAAGAAGCACCGGCUAACUACGUG
Molecule: ribosomal RNA, 467 nt
Filed under: uncultured bacterium
Lineage: Bacteria
Description: partial 16S ribosomal RNA
Rfam family: Bacterial small subunit ribosomal RNA
Source: RNAcentral